Long non-coding RNA from Solea senegalensis (Senegalese sole), 515 nucleotides. RefSeq lists it as uncharacterized. The record is from RefSeq and is a predicted model, not a curated record. NCBI's taxonomy places the organism in Eukaryota, Metazoa, Chordata, Actinopteri, Pleuronectiformes, Soleidae. The transcript has 3 exons.
UAUGGGCCACAGCCAGGACGAGGAGCAGCACAGCAGCCUCGCCAUGGAGCAACGUGACCACACCUAGGAGACUGUAUUUGUCCUGAACCUUGUCCCUUGUCCGUCUCUCUCUUCUUCUUCUUGUUCUACCUCUACCACUGUUGCAGCAAUGAAGAAGAGGAAGAGAGGAAAUGACUCCCAGUUAAAAAAGGAGGGGCUUAAGAAGAAAAAGGGUUGUCGAAAAUGUAGUAGACAGAAAAUAUUCCAGUUUGGCUCAAUUUCUGGGAGAAGGAUACAUGAGUGGCAAAACCUGGGAUGACACAUGGGAGCCUGCAAACACAUUUGCACAACAACACCACACUGCCACCCCUGAGUCUCCUCCUCCUUCUGGUUCAGUUAGCUGAACCUAACUGGUUGGGCUCUACUCACAGCAGGGGAAAAGAGACAAUCGACAGAAAUGACUGACACUGAGCUCAAAUCAAAUACUGUGCUGCAACACGUGUCUUUUGUGUUUAUUGAAGGAAUGUGUUCAUGGA